RNAcentral lists this long non-coding RNA (371 nucleotides) under Setaria italica (foxtail millet). RNAcentral's name for it is "long non-coding RNA (SITA_LNC002142)". The record is from RNAcentral. Lineage: Eukaryota; Viridiplantae; Streptophyta; Magnoliopsida; Poales; Poaceae.
GUGGGGGAAGGCAUGGUGAGGGAGGGCCAAGCAGGGGGAGGCGCGGUGGAGAAGUGGCAGGGGAGGUGUGGAGGACGGCGAGGACCUGUCGGAGUCGGCGAGGGAAGCGAACGGUGCCGAGGAAGUAGAGGUUGCCGAUUUCGUGGUGAGGUACUGCCUCGCGGAUGCGGUGAAAUGGAGUACGGCCUAGGCCACGCGGAAGAUGGGCACGGGAUGGUGCCAGAGCUCCGCACUAGACAACGCUACCGGUGACGCAGGAGGCCCGCGGAGGACGGAGUCGGCCAGGGAGGCGAAUGGCACGGAGAAAGGAAGAAUUGCCGAUUUCUUGCAGAGACACGGACAACCGCCUGGCCGAGACGGGUGAAGCUGGA